CCUACGGGAGGCAGCAGUGGGGAAUAUUGCACAAUGGGGGAAACCCUGAUCCAGCCAUACCGCGUGUGUGAAGAAGGCCUUCGGGUUGUAAAGCACUUUCAGUUGUGAGGAAGGGAUUCUCGUUAAUAGCGGUAG
Molecule: ribosomal RNA, 135 nt
Filed under: bacterium symbiont of Siboglinum sp.
Lineage: Bacteria
Description: partial 16S ribosomal RNA
Rfam family: Bacterial small subunit ribosomal RNA
Source: RNAcentral